UACGUAGGGAGCAAGCGUUAUCCGGAUUUAUUGGGCGUAAAGCGCGCGUAGGCGGCUUGUUAAGCAAGAUCUCAAAUCUGGGGGCUCAACCUCCAGCCGGAUUUUGAACUGGCAGGCUCGAGUUUGGUAGAGGAAAGUGGAAUUCCCAGUGUAGCGGUGAAAUGCGCAGAUAUUGGGAAGAACACCGAUGGCGAAGGCAGCUUUCUGGGCCAUAACUGACGCUGAGGUGCGAAAGCUAGGGGAGCAAACAGG
Molecule: ribosomal RNA, 252 nt
Filed under: Raoultibacter massiliensis
Lineage: Bacteria; Bacillati; Actinomycetota; Coriobacteriia; Eggerthellales; Eggerthellaceae
Also listed under: 1 other name
Description: partial 16S ribosomal RNA
Rfam family: Bacterial small subunit ribosomal RNA
Source: RNAcentral